This 501-nucleotide ribosomal RNA is filed under the name Acrobeloides sp. Sourhope farm. Its description in RNAcentral is "SSU rRNA". It matches the Rfam family "Eukaryotic small subunit ribosomal RNA", at positions 44 to 544 of the family's 1831-position model. Lineage: Eukaryota; Metazoa; Nematoda; Chromadorea; Rhabditida; Cephalobidae. The record is from RNAcentral.
UUAAGCCAUGCAUGUCUAAGUAUAAACGAUUUAAUCGUGAAACCGCGAAUGGCUCAUUAUAACAGCUAUAAUUUACUUGAUCUUGACACAAUCCUACUUGGAUAACUGUGGUAAUUCUAGAGCUAAUACAUGCAUUAAAGCUCUGACCUCACGGGAAGAGUGCAUUUAUUAGAACAAAACCAAGCGGCUUCGGCUGUUUCUGGUUGACUCAUAGUAACUGAGCUGAUCGCAUGGUCUUGCACCGGCGACGUGUCUUUCAAGUAUCUGCCGUAUCAACUUUCGAUGGUAGUGUAUCUGACUACCAUGGUGAUCACGCGUAACGGAGAAUAAGGGUUCGGCUCCGGAGAGUUCGCCUGAGAAAUCGCGAACACAUCUAAGGAAGGCAGCAGGCGCGAAAAUUACCCACUCUCAGCACGAGGAGGUAGUGACGAAAAAUAACGAGACCGUUCUCUUAUGAGGCCGGUCAUCGGAAUGGGUACAAUUUAAACCCUUAACGAGUAU